RNAcentral lists this ribosomal RNA (416 nucleotides) under uncultured bacterium. RNAcentral describes it as "bacterial SSU rRNA". It matches the Rfam family "Bacterial small subunit ribosomal RNA", at positions 8 to 422 of the family's 1533-position model. The record is from RNAcentral.
AGAGUUUGAUCCUGGCUCAGAUUGAACGCUAGCGGGAUGCUUUACACAUGCAAGUCGGACGGCAGCACGAAGAGCUUGCUCUUUGGUGGCGAGUGGCGAACGGGUGAGUAAUGUAUCGGAACGUGCCCAGUAGCGGGGGAUAACUACGCGAAAGCGUGGCUAAUACCGCAUACGCCCUACGGGGGAAAGGGGGGGAUCGCAAGACCUCUCACUAUUGGAGCGGCCGAUAUCGGAUUAGCUGGUUGGUGGGGUAAAGGCCUACCAAGGCGACGAUCCGUAGCUGGUUUGAGAGGACGACCAGCCACACUGGGACUGAGACACGGCCCAGACUCCUACGGGAGGCAGCAGUGGGGAAUUUUGGACAAUGGGGGCAACCCUGAUCCAGCCAUCCCGCGUGUGCGAUGAAGGCCUUCGGG